GAUGAACGCUGGCGGCGUGCCUAAUACAUGCAAGUCGAGCGAACGGACGAGAAGCUUGCUUCUCUGAUGUUAGCGGCGGACGGGUGAGUAACACGUGGAUAACCUACCUAUAAGACUGGGAUAACUUCGGGAAACCGUAGCUAAUACCGGAUAAUAUUUUGAACCGCAUGGUUCAAAAGUGAAAGACGGUCUUGCUGUCACUUAUAGAUGGAUCCGCGCUGCAUUAGCUAGUUGGUAAGGUAACGGCUUACCAAGGCAACGAUGCAUAGCCGACCUGAGAGUGUGAGCGGCAACACUGAAAUGAAACACGGACCAAGACCACUCGGGGAGGAGAAAGGGGGAAUGUUCCCGGAGGGGGACAAGGUCGGAGAGCGAAACCCGGGGGGGGGAAUAAGGGUUUAAGAAUCUAAAAAUUUUUUUAUUGGGGAAAAACAUAUGUGAAAGUAUGUGUACAAAUCUGAGGGUACAGAAACCAGAGGCCACGGUCAAGCCCGGCC
Molecule: ribosomal RNA, 497 nt
Filed under: uncultured bacterium
Lineage: Bacteria
Description: partial 16S ribosomal RNA
Rfam family: Bacterial small subunit ribosomal RNA
Source: RNAcentral